AAAAAAAUUGAUCAUGUCAGGUGACAGGCCUAAAGAUUCUGCCGAAGGAUCCUCGCGAUCCGGCGGAGAUCAUCAGCAGCAGCUUCCUCAACCGGCUCCGUUGAGCAGGUACGAGUCACAGAAAAGGCGAGAUUGGAACACUUUUGGGCAGUACUUGAAGAACCAGAGACCUCCAGUUUCACUGUCGCAGUGUAACUGCAACCAUGU
RNAcentral lists this unclassified non-coding RNA (207 nucleotides) under Hevea brasiliensis (rubber tree). Lineage: Eukaryota; Viridiplantae; Streptophyta; Magnoliopsida; Malpighiales; Euphorbiaceae. The record is from RNAcentral.